Molecule: long non-coding RNA, 719 nt
Organism: Symsagittifera roscoffensis
Lineage: Eukaryota; Metazoa; Xenacoelomorpha; Acoela; Convolutidae
Exons: 2
Source: RefSeq, a predicted model, not a curated record
AGGUGGUAUCAUGGAGGCUGAUUAGAGGAAUGACCAAUCAGCGUUCCAUGCAUGAACAAUUAUGGCGACAAAGCGAUCAGUGAUACGUUCUGGCGUGUUCUCUGAUAAAUCGAAACCGUCAUCCCUGAAGUUCUACGAGAACUUUCUUGUCAGAUUUCCUGCUCAUUCAAUCAGCAUAGACGAACGUGAAGAGAGAUAUUCAGUGGAGAAAGAAUUUCGACGACUCUUAGAAAGUGGUGCUUCUGGUUUAGUGCUGAAUGAUUUCCUGGCAGUUCACGAAAGGGAAUAUUUUAGGAAACUGGAUAGUCUAAUAUCAAAGAUGUCUGAAAUUGUGCCUCAAAAUAAGGACUGAAUGAAGGAACUGAAUACUAUCAAUCAGCCAAGUCAUCCACUUAUUCGUGCUACAAUUAAGCUAUCUAAUUAAGUGCUACGUGAUGAAAUCGAUGAAGUUAAAACCUGCUCUUGUUUUCAAUUAGAUUUAAAUUGUUAAUCCAAGUUUACCCACUUGCUUUUUAGGCUCUGGAAAAAUAUUUGGCAUCAUCUUUCUAUCUGAAGAUUUUUGAAAUCUGAAUUUGUACAAUCACUAUAGAAUUAAACUCACAAUCUCAAAGUGCCUUAAUUUUGUAAAAGUUUGAAUUAACGAGGACUCAUGCAAAUGUCCGUUUAUAGAUAGAUAAAAUGAUCGAAUCUACACAGGAAAUUUGAAAUAUUUUAUUUAA